GUGGGGAAUCUUGCGCAAUGGGCGAAAGCCUGACGCAGCCAUGCCGCGUGAAUGAUGAAGGUCUUAGGAUUGUAAAAUUCUUUCACCGGGGACGAUAAUGACGGUACCCGGAGAAGAAGCUCCGGCUAACUUCGUGCCAGCAGCCGCGGUAAUACGAAGGGGGCUAGCGUUGCUCGGAAUUACUGGGCGUAAAGGGCGCGUAGGCGGACAGCUUAGUCAGAGGUGAAAGCCCAGGGCUCAACCUUGGAAUUGCCUUUGAUACUGGCUGUCUUGAGUUUGGGAGAGGUGAGUGGAACUCCGAGUGUAGAGGUGAAAUUCGUAGAUAUUCGGAAGAACACCAGUGGCGAAGGCGACUCACUGGCCCAAUACUGACGCUGAGGCGCGAAAGCGUGGGGAGCAAACAGGAUUAGAUACCUAGUAGUCC
Molecule: ribosomal RNA, 424 nt
Filed under: uncultured bacterium
Lineage: Bacteria
Description: partial 16S ribosomal RNA
Rfam family: Bacterial small subunit ribosomal RNA
Source: RNAcentral